RNAcentral lists this unclassified non-coding RNA (279 nucleotides) under uncultured fungus. Its description in RNAcentral is "partial contains 5.8S ribosomal RNA, internal transcribed spacer 2, and large subunit ribosomal RNA". The stretch from base 1 to 52 matches the Rfam family "5.8S ribosomal RNA", at positions 103 to 154 of the family's 154-position model. Lineage: Eukaryota; Fungi. The record is from RNAcentral.
AACGCACAUUGCGCCCAUUGGUAUUCCGAUGGGCAUGCCUGUUCGAGCGUCAUUAUCCUCCCUCAAACCUUUUUUGUGUUUGGUGUUGGGCCGCGCCUCCCCUCGGCGGGCCCCAAAGGCAGUGACGGCGUCCGUGGGACCCUCGAUGCAACGAGCUUCAAUUUUGUGAGCACGCGUCGAGUUGAAAGGACCCCCGGGCCCGGUCGACCCCCCUUAUCUUUAGGGGACAUUUUUUUCCAGGUUGACCUCGGAUCAGGUAGGAAUACCCGCUGAACUUAA